AACGAACGCUGGCGGCAUGCCUAACACAUGCAAGUCGAACGAGACCUUCGGGUCUAGUGGCGCACGGGUGCGUCACGCGUGGGAACCUGCCCUUAGGUUCGGCAUAACUCCCCGAAAGGGGUGCUAAUACCGGAUAAUGUCUUCGGACCAAAGAUUUAUCGCCUUUGGAUGGGCCCGCGUUGGAUUAGCUAGUUGGUAGGGUAAAAGCCUACCAAGGCGACGAUCCAUAGCUGGUCUGAGAGGAUGAUCAGCCACACUGGGACUGAGACACGGCCCAGACUCCUACGGGAGGCAGCAGUGGGGAAUAUUGGACAAUGGGCGAAAGCCUGAUCCAGCAAGGCCGCGUGAGUGAUGAAGGCCGUAGGGUUGUAAAGCGCUUUUACCCGGGAUGAUAAUGACAGUACCGGGAGAAUAAGCUCCGGCUAACUCCGUG
RNAcentral lists this ribosomal RNA (433 nucleotides) under uncultured bacterium. Its description in RNAcentral is "partial 16S ribosomal RNA". It matches the Rfam family "Bacterial small subunit ribosomal RNA", at positions 29 to 507 of the family's 1533-position model. The record is from RNAcentral.